RNAcentral lists this ribosomal RNA (1536 nucleotides) under Klebsiella aerogenes. RNAcentral describes it as "bacterial SSU rRNA". It matches the Rfam family "Bacterial small subunit ribosomal RNA". Lineage: Bacteria; Pseudomonadati; Pseudomonadota; Gammaproteobacteria; Enterobacterales; Enterobacteriaceae. The record is from RNAcentral.
UUGAAGAGUUUGAUCAUGGCUCAGAUUGAACGCUGGCGGCAGGCCUAACACAUGCAAGUCGAGCGGUAGCACAGAGAGCUUGCUCUCGGGUGACGAGCGGCGGACGGGUGAGUAAUGUCUGGGAAACUGCCUGAUGGAGGGGGAUAACUACUGGAAACGGUAGCUAAUACCGCAUAACGUCGCAAGACCAAAGUGGGGGACCUUCGGGCCUCAUGCCAUCAGAUGUGCCCAGAUGGGAUUAGCUAGUAGGUGGGGUAAUGGCUCACCUAGGCGACGAUCCCUAGCUGGUCUGAGAGGAUGACCAGCCACACUGGAACUGAGACACGGUCCAGACUCCUACGGGAGGCAGCAGUGGGGAAUAUUGCACAAUGGGCGCAAGCCUGAUGCAGCCAUGCCGCGUGUAUGAAGAAGGCCUUCGGGUUGUAAAGUACUUUCAGCGAGGAGGAAGGCGUUAAGGUUAAUAACCUUAGCGAUUGACGUUACUCGCAGAAGAAGCACCGGCUAACUCCGUGCCAGCAGCCGCGGUAAUACGGAGGGUGCAAGCGUUAAUCGGAAUUACUGGGCGUAAAGCGCACGCAGGCGGUCUGUCAAGUCGGAUGUGAAAUCCCCGGGCUCAACCUGGGAACUGCAUUCGAAACUGGCAGGCUAGAGUCUUGUAGAGGGGGGUAGAAUUCCAGGUGUAGCGGUGAAAUGCGUAGAGAUCUGGAGGAAUACCGGUGGCGAAGGCGGCCCCCUGGACAAAGACUGACGCUCAGGUGCGAAAGCGUGGGGAGCAAACAGGAUUAGAUACCCUGGUAGUCCACGCCGUAAACGAUGUCGACUUGGAGGUUGUGCCCUUGAGGCGUGGCUUCCGGAGCUAACGCGUUAAGUCGACCGCCUGGGGAGUACGGCCGCAAGGUUAAAACUCAAAUGAAUUGACGGGGGCCCGCACAAGCGGUGGAGCAUGUGGUUUAAUUCGAUGCAACGCGAAGAACCUUACCUACUCUUGACAUCCAGAGAACUUAGCAGAGAUGCUUUGGUGCCUUCGGGAACUCUGAGACAGGUGCUGCAUGGCUGUCGUCAGCUCGUGUUGUGAAAUGUUGGGUUAAGUCCCGCAACGAGCGCAACCCUUAUCCUUUGUUGCCAGCGAUUCGGUCGGGAACUCAAAGGAGACUGCCAGUGAUAAACUGGAGGAAGGUGGGGAUGACGUCAAGUCAUCAUGGCCCUUACGAGUAGGGCUACACACGUGCUACAAUGGCAUAUACAAAGAGAAGCGACCUCGCGAGAGCAAGCGGACCUCAUAAAGUAUGUCGUAGUCCGGAUUGGAGUCUGCAACUCGACUCCAUGAAGUCGGAAUCGCUAGUAAUCGUAGAUCAGAAUGCUACGGUGAAUACGUUCCCGGGCCUUGUACACACCGCCCGUCACACCAUGGGAGUGGGUUGCAAAAGAAGUAGGUAGCUUAACCUUCGGGAGGGCGCUUACCACUUUGUGAUUCAUGACUGGGGUGAAGUCGUAACAAGGUAACCGUAGGGGAACCUGCGGUUGGAUCACCUCCUU